CAGCCGCCGCGGGAAUACGUAGGGUGCGAGCGUUAAUCGGAAUUACUGGGCGUAAAGCGCGCGCAGGCGGUUCGUUAAGACAGAUGUGAAAUCCCCGGGCUUAACCUGGGAACUGCAUUUGUGACUGGCGAGCUAGAGUAUGGCAGAGGGGGGUAGAAUUCCACGUGUAGCAGUGAAAUGCGUAGAGAUGUGGAGGAAUACCGAUGGCGAAGGCAGCCCCCUGGGCUAAUACUGACGCUCAUGCACGAAGGCGUGGGGAGCAAACAGGAUUAGAUACCCCAGUAGUCCCUGUCUCUUAUAC
Molecule: ribosomal RNA, 301 nt
Filed under: uncultured bacterium
Lineage: Bacteria
Description: partial 16S ribosomal RNA
Rfam family: Bacterial small subunit ribosomal RNA
Source: RNAcentral